RNAcentral lists this ribosomal RNA (514 nucleotides) under uncultured bacterium. Its description in RNAcentral is "partial 16S ribosomal RNA". It matches the Rfam family "Bacterial small subunit ribosomal RNA", at positions 28 to 523 of the family's 1533-position model. The record is from RNAcentral.
GAUGAACGCUGGCGGCGUGCCUAAUACAUGCAAGUCGAGCGAACAGAUGAGGAGCUUGCUCCUUUGACGUUAGCGGCGGACGGGUGAGUAACACGUGGGUAACCUACCUAUAAGACUGGGAUAACUCCGGGAAACCGGGGCUAAUACCGGAUAAUAUUUUGAACCGCAUGGUUCAAUAGUGAAAGACGGUUUCGGCUGUCACUUAUAGAUGGACCCGCGCCGUAUUAGCUAGUUGGUAAGGUAACGGCUUACCAAGGCGACGAUACGUAGCCGACCUGAGAGGGUGAUCGGCCACACUGGAACUGAGACACGGUCCAGACUCCUACGGGAGGCAGCAGUAGGGAAUCUUCCGCAAUGGGCGAAAGCCUGACGGAGCAACGCCGCGUGAGUGAUGAAGGUCUUCGGAUCGUAAAACUCUGUUGUUAGGGAAGAACAAAUUUGUUAGUAACUGAACAAGUCUUGACGGUACCUAACCAGAAAGCCACGGCUAACUACGUGCCAGCCGCCGCAGUAA